GCCCUUUUCAUAGGCUAAGAUUAGAGUUCUAAUUAUACUAAAAUAUCUAUUGUAUAAUUAGAGUUUAAUUGGGAAAAGUAACCCUACUGAGAGUUUAAUUACGUAACUGCUUUAAGUUGUAAUUUUUAGCGUUGCCGUCUGUUGGAGAUGUCGCGAUACUAAAGUCCUCAUGGCAUAAUACGGGCUGCUAUAAGGGCCUAGAAAUGUCUAAAAAUGUGAGACACACUUCACAGUUGACACCACUUAAAGUUUGUUCCAUCAAAUAUUUUAGGUUUCUCACCAUGCACUAGUAAGGGUGAUAGUGGAAUCUUACCUUUCGGAAAAGUCUUACCUCACUAGUUUCAUAAUUUUGAGCAGAUGUCAUGUUAUCUAAAAAUCAAUAUAAAAAAUUAUUUUUGAUUAAAAAAAUAAACACUAAUGUUGAACUUAUGGCAAUCCAAUAAAGUAUAUAAUUCGUUUAUUUGUAAACUUUGUUAAAACUAGCAGCAACAACAACUACUUAUUGUGAACCACACACUUACUUGUUCACAAUAAAAUUGAAAAAUCGAUAAUUAACAUUGUUACCAAGAGUUAAACCUUUUACCUUUAAGGUAAAAUUGCUCGUCAAUUGGUGCAUAAGAUUUGAUGCAAUUGUCCCCUUCAAACUUUAACAACAACACCUCAAA
RNAcentral lists this long non-coding RNA (665 nucleotides) under Gossypium barbadense (sea-island cotton). RNAcentral's name for it is "long non-coding RNA (GBAR_LNC012086)". The record is from RNAcentral. Lineage: Eukaryota; Viridiplantae; Streptophyta; Magnoliopsida; Malvales; Malvaceae.